GAACGCUGGCGGCGUGCCUAAUACAUGCAAGUCGAGCGAACGGACGAGAAGCUUGCUUCUCUGAUGUUAGCGGCGGACGGGUGAGUAACACGUGGAUAACCUACCUAUAAGACUGGGAUAACUUCGGGAAACCGGAGCUAAUACCGGAUAAUAUUUUGAACCGCAUGGUUCAAAAGUGAAAGACGGUCUUGCUGUCACUUAUAGAUGGAUCCGCGCUGCAUUAGCUAGUUGGUAAGGUAACGGCUUACCAAGGCAACGAUGCAUAGCCGACCUGAGAGGGUGAUCGGCCACACUGGAACUGAGACACGGUCCAGACUCCUACGGGAGGCAGCAGUAGGGAAUCUUCCGCAAUGGGCGAAAGCCUGACGGAGCAACGCCGCGUGAGUGAUGAAGGUCUUCGGAUCGUAAAACUCUGUUAUUAGGGAAGAACAUAUGUGUAAGUAACUGUGCACAUCUUGACGGUACCUAAUCAGAAAGCCACGGCUAACUACGUGCCAGCAGCCGCGGUAAUACGUAGGUGGCAAGCGUUAUCCGGAAUUAUUGGGCGUAAAGCGCGCGUAGGCGGUUUAAGUCUGAUGUGAAAAGCCCACGGCUCAACCGUGGAGGGUCAUUGGAAACUGGAAAACUUGAGUGCAGAAGAGGAAAGUGGAAUUCCAUGUGUAGCGGUGAAAUGCGCAGAGAUAUGGAGGAACACCAGUGGCGAAGGCGACUUUCUGGUCUGUAACUGACGCUGAUGUGCGAAAGCGUGGGGAUCAAACAGGAUUAGAUACCCUGGUAGUCCACGCCGUAAACGAUGAGUGCUAAGUG
Molecule: ribosomal RNA, 807 nt
Filed under: Staphylococcus sp. KSUM_55
Lineage: Bacteria; Bacillati; Bacillota; Bacilli; Caryophanales; Staphylococcaceae
Description: bacterial SSU rRNA
Rfam family: Bacterial small subunit ribosomal RNA
Source: RNAcentral